This is a long non-coding RNA of Engraulis encrasicolus (European anchovy), 1361 nucleotides long. RefSeq lists it as uncharacterized. The transcript is spliced from 4 exons. NCBI's taxonomy places the organism in Eukaryota, Metazoa, Chordata, Actinopteri, Clupeiformes, Engraulidae. The record is from RefSeq and is a predicted model, not a curated record.
UCCUGCCUCUUCAAUCAUCCAAAGACUGUUUAGUCUGUUAUUUUAAUGUAAUGGUCGGUUCAUGUCCGUUGCAUUGACUUGACUUGUCAUUGGGUCUGAUUUUAAAUGUGCCAUAUAGUUCAAUGUGGGAGCAGGUUCACACACUAAAUAAGACACUAAGGUCAAUUUAUUUAUUUUUCUCAGAGCAGAGUAGAGCAGAUGUUUCAGGUUGCUGCCAUCAGAGAGCAGUGACUUGACCUCAGUGUCUUAUUUAGUGUACUCCCACAUUGAACUCUACUUUUUGGGUCCACGCACCUACUUAUUUCUAAACAUCUAGAGUGCAACAAUACCCCUGCCUCCUAAUGUGCCAUAUAACCUGUAUCUCGCCUAUUGUGUGUGUGUGUGUGUGUGUGUGUGUGUGUGUGUGUUUGUGAAUGUGUUCACGCAGAUAUAAGAAGUUGGGGUUGGGGUUGAUGAUCCACAUGAUGGUGAUGGACCAGGACAGCUCUGGACCUCCUGACUGGCAGCUCCAUCCUCAACCUCCCUUCCUGUCCUUCACACAUGUGCAGGCAGAGAGGCAGUUUUCUGAAGGAUGGUUAAUGUCAGUACCAACAUGUUGUGAUGGAGGCUUCCACCUGAGCUGAACACAGAAACUUGCACACAGUGAUGGAAGCAGUCGUUCCUGUUCAGCAUUGAUAUGCCGGUAAUGGGUUUGAUGAACCACAGCAUGGUGAUGGGCAAUCAGCAUCAGGACCAGGGCCGCUCACAAGGAGAACCUCCUGCCUUGCCUCUUCAUCCUCAACCUCCAAUCUUCCUGCUCUUCACACAUGUGCAGGCACAGAGCCAGUUUUCAGAGGGAGGGCUGAUGACACCAGCAACUUCGGUUCUGAACCUGAUCAACCCAGCACCAACCACUGUGCCGCUCCUCCUCUGCCAACUGCACCACAUGGCUCCACCAUCUCAAAAAGGCACAGACACUACUCCACUUCCUGCGAAGGAUGAGAGAAGAGCCGACCUCCCCACAACGGCACUCACCACCUUCUACAGGGGUGUCAUUGAGAGCAUCCUGACCAGCAGCCUCUCUGUCUGGCAUGGCAGCCGUCAAGCUGAAGACUAGAAGGUAGUACAGAGAGUGGUGAGGACAGCAGAAAAGCUCAUAAGAUCACCCCUACCUGUUCUCCCUACUACCAUCAGGGAAGCGCUAGCCCAGCAUGCGGUGCUGCAAAAGCACACUGGGAAACGGCUUCUUUCCACAAGCCAUCAGACUCCUCAACGCACUGAAGAAAACCACAUGAAUAACCAAGGACACGGGAGAAUAUUCCAUGAACACUUCUUUCACCAUGCCACUUACACUUUACUCAUUGCACCUUGUAUACAGCAUC